Molecule: ribosomal RNA, 2873 nt
Filed under: human gut metagenome
Description: bacterial LSU rRNA
Rfam family: Bacterial large subunit ribosomal RNA
Source: RNAcentral
CUAAGUGCAUGUGGCGGAUGCCUUGGCGAUCACAGGCGAAGAAAGACGCGGCAGCCUGCGAAAAGCUGCGGGGAGCUGGCAAACGAGCUUUGAUCCGCAGAUAUCUGAAUGGGGGAACCCACACCGCAAGGUGUAUCCGUAGCUGAAUACAUAGGUUACGGAGGCGAACGAGGAGAACUGAAACAUCUAAGUAUCCUCAGGAAAAGAAAUCAACCGAGAUUCCGGCAGUAGCGGCGAGCGAACCCGGAGGAGCCCAGCUUUUGAUAGUACGAACUUUAGCCGAAAGGUCCUGGAAAGGCCUGCUAUAGUGGGUGAUAGCCCCGUAGGCGAAAGAGUUGGUACGGUACUAAGGAAGCGAGAAGUAGAGCGGGACACGUGGAAUCCUGUUCGAAGACGGGGGGACCAUCCUCCAAGGCUAAAUACUCGUGAUCGACCGAUAGUGAACCAGUACCGUGAGGGAAAGGCGAAAAGAACCCCGGGAGGGGAGUGAAAUAGAACCUGAAACCGCAUGCAUACAAACAGUAGGAGCCUCGUCAGAGGUGACUGCGUACCUUUUGCAUAAUGGGUCAGCGACUUACAUUCUGUGGCGAGCUUAACCGAAUAGGGGAGGCGCAGCGAAAGCGAGUUCGAAAUGAGCGUUCAGUCGCAGGGUGUAGACCCGAAACCAGAUGAGCUAUCCAUGGCCAGGUUGAAGGUGUGGUAACACACACUGGAGGACCGAACCGACUAGUGUUGCAAAAUUAGCGGAUGAGCUGUGGAUAGGGGUGAAAGGCCAAACAAAUCUGGAGAUAGCUGGUUCUCCCCGAAAACUAUUGAGGUAGUGCCUCGUGUGUCGCUCCAGGGGGUAGAGCACUGUUUUGGCUAGGGGGACAUGGAGUCUUACCAAACCAAGGCAAACUCCGAAUACCUGGAAGCGUAAGCACGGGAGACAGAGCACCGGGUGCUAACGUCCGGACUCAAAAGGGAAACAACCCAGACCGCCGGCUAAGGUCCCAAAUAACAGCUAAGUGGAAAACGAAGUGGAAAGGCCGUGACAACCAGGAAGUUGGCUUAGAAGCAGCCAUCCUUCAAAGAAAGCGUAAUAGCUCACUGGUCGAGUCCUUCUGCGCGGAAGAUGUAACGGGGCUAAGCUGUUAACCGAAGCCGCGGAUGCGCUGGUUAUCCAGUGCGUGGUAGGGGAGCGUUCUGUAAGUCUGCGAAGGCGGUUCGAGAGGACUGCUGGAGAUAUCAGAAGUGCGAAUGCUGACAUGAGUAACGUUAAAGCAGGUGAAAAGCCUGCUCGCCGUAAGCCCAAGGAUUCCUGCUCUACGUUCAUCGGAGCAGGGUGAGUCGGCUCCUAAGGUCAGGCCGAAAGGCGUAGCCGAUGGGAAUCAGGUUAAUAUUCCUGAACCUGCGUCAGAUGCGAUGGGGGGACGGAGCAUGGAAGAUCAUCCGGGUGUUGGAAGUCCCGGUUGUUUAGCGUAGGAGGUCUGCAGGCAAAUCCGCAGACGCAUCUCCAAGGCAAAGACACGUGCCGCCACGGCGGCGAAGUGAUCGGAAGUGCUUCCAAGAAAAGCCUCUAAGCACCAGUCUGAUGCGGACCGUACCGCAAACCGACACUGGUGGGCGAGCUGAAUAUGCUCAGGCGCUUGAGAGAACUCGGGAGAAGGAACUCGGCAAAUUGACACCGUAACUUCGGAAGAAGGUGUGCCGUAGUACCGUGAGAGGAGAGACACCUUGAGCGGGAAACGGUCUCAGAGAAUAGGUGGCUGCGACUGUUUAUUAAAAACACAGCACUCUGCAAAGUCGAAAGACGACGUAUAGGGUGUGAUGCCUGCCCGGUGCUGGAAGAUUAAUUGAUGGGGUGAGAGCCCUUGAUCGAAGUCCCAGUAAACGGCGGCCGUAACUAUAACGGUCCUAAGGUAGCGAAAUUCCUUGUCGGGUAAGUUCCGACCUGCACGAAUGGCAUAACGAUGGCCACACUGUCUCCUCCCGAGACUCAGUGAAGUUGAAAUGUUUGUGAUGAUGCAAUCUACCCGCGGCUAGACGGAAAGACCCCAUGAACCUUUACUGCAGCUUUGCAUUGAACUGUGAACCGAUUUGUGUAGGAUAGGUGGGAGGCAGAGAAGAGGCCACGCCAGUGGUCUUGGAGCCGACCUUGAAAUACCACCCUGAUUUGUUUGCGGUUCUAACCACGGACAGUGAUCCUGUCUUGGGACCGUGCAUGGUAGGCAGUUUGACUGGGGCGGUCUCCUCCUAAAGGGUAACGGAGGAGUACGAAGGUACGCUAGGUACGGUCGGAAAUCGUGCUGAUAGUGCAAUGGCAAAAGCGUGCUUGACUGCGAGAGCAACAACUCGAGCAGAUGCGAAAGCAGGUCAUAGUGAUCCGGUGGCUCUGAAUGGAAGGGCCAUCGCUCAACGGAUAAAAGGUACUCUGGGGAUAACAGGCUGAUACCGCCCAAGAGUUCAUAUCGACGGCGGUGUUUGGCACCUCGAUGUCGGCUCAUCUCAUCCUGGGGCUGUAGUCGGUCCCAAGGGUAUGGCUGUUCGCCAUUUAAAGAGGUACGUGAGCUGGGUUUAAAACGUCGUGAGACAGUUUGGUCCCUAUCUGCCGUGGGCGUUGGAAGAUUGACGGGGGCUGCUCCUAGUACGAGAGGACCGGAGUGGACGCACCUCUGGUGUACCGGUUGUCACGCCAGUGGCAUUGCCGGGUAGCUAAGUGCGGAAGAGAUAACCGCUGAAAGCAUCUAAGCGGGAAACUUGCCUGAAGAUGAGUCUUCCCGGAGGUUGAACCUCCCUCAAGAGUCGUCCGAGACCAGGACGUCGAUAGGUCAGGUGUGUAAGCGCUGUAAGGCGUUGAGCUAACUGAUACUAAUUGCUCGUGAGGCUUGAUC